This is a small nucleolar RNA of Tripterygium wilfordii, 86 nucleotides long. Lineage: Eukaryota; Viridiplantae; Streptophyta; Magnoliopsida; Celastrales; Celastraceae. The record is from RefSeq and is a predicted model, not a curated record.
UAGAAUGAUGAUAUAUGCACUGGGCUCUGAGCAGUUUUUUACUGUUAUUUUGAUGGAAAUGCAGCCUAGAAAGCUAUAUCUGACUU